AUGUCAUCGUCGUCGUCGUCGAUUGCUUCCUCCCGUUCACGCGGCGGAAGGACUCGACGGAGAGUGGCUGCAGUUAGGUCACCGGUGCCCUAUCGGGAGCAGCCCAUGGACUACAAGCCGACGGUUUUUUGCGAGCGGUGCGGGCGGAAGGCGCCGCGGUGGAUAUCGUGGAGUCCGGCGAACCCUGGGCGGAGAUAUUACGCAUGCGUUGAAGCUCAGGUAAGCUUGAUUCGACAUUUUGCAUCUUCCUCUGCUUGGUGCUCUGUUCUUUGCUUUAUGUCUGACAGAAAUUAUGUUGUGAGGCAGGAAUGUACUGAAUUUAAAUCCUAG
RNAcentral lists this ribosomal RNA (330 nucleotides) under Triticum aestivum (bread wheat). RNAcentral's name for it is "partial small subunit ribosomal RNA". The record is from RNAcentral. Lineage: Eukaryota; Viridiplantae; Streptophyta; Magnoliopsida; Poales; Poaceae.